GACGAACGCUGGCGGCGUGCUUAACACAUGCCAGUCGAACGAUGAAGCCUAGCUUGCUAGGUGGAUUAGUGGCGAACGGGUGAGUAAUACGUGAGUGUCCUACCUUUGACUCUGGGAUAAGCCUGGGAAACUGGGUCUAAUACCGGAUACGACCAAUCUCCGCAUGGGGUGUUGGUGGAAAGCGUUAUGGAGUGGUUUUAGUUGGGCUCACUGCCUAUCAGCUUGUUGGUGAGGUAAUGGCUUACCAAGGCGACGACGGGUAGCCGGCCUGAGAGGGUGACCGGCCAAACUGGGAAUGAGACACGGCCCAGACGCCAACGGGAGGCAGCAGUGGGGAAUAUUGCACAAUGGGCGCAAGCCUGAUGCAGCGACGCCGCGUGAGGGAUGACGGCCAUCGGGUUGUAAACCGCUGUUAGCAACGAAGAAGCGAAAGUGACGGUAGGUGCAGAGAAAGCGCCGGCUAACUACGUG
RNAcentral lists this ribosomal RNA (471 nucleotides) under uncultured bacterium. RNAcentral describes it as "partial 16S ribosomal RNA". It matches the Rfam family "Bacterial small subunit ribosomal RNA", at positions 28 to 507 of the family's 1533-position model. The record is from RNAcentral.